RNAcentral lists this small nuclear RNA (20 nucleotides) under Arabidopsis thaliana (thale cress). RNAcentral's name for it is "snRNA_13138". Lineage: Eukaryota; Viridiplantae; Streptophyta; Magnoliopsida; Brassicales; Brassicaceae. The record is from RNAcentral.
CUGGCUUGUGGCAGCCAAGC